Molecule: ribosomal RNA, 785 nt
Filed under: Ophiocordycipitaceae sp. 'Podonectria citrina'
Lineage: Eukaryota; Fungi; Ascomycota; Sordariomycetes; Hypocreales; Ophiocordycipitaceae
Description: eukaryotic LSU rRNA
Rfam family: Eukaryotic large subunit ribosomal RNA
Source: RNAcentral
CGGCAACAGCUCAAAUUUGAAAUCUGGCUCCCUUGCGGGGCCCGAGUUGUACUUUGCAGAGGAUGCUUCCGGUGCGGCGCCGUCCGAGUUCCCUGGAACGGGACGCCACAGAGGGUGAGAGCCCCGUCUGGUCGGAUGCCAAACCCAUGUGAAGCUCCCUCGACGAGUCGAGUAGUUUGGGAAUGCUGCUCUAAAUGGGAGGUAUAUGUCUUCUAAAGCUAAAUAUUGGCCAGAGACCGAUAGCGCACAAGUAGAGUGAUCGAAAGAUGAAAAGCACUUUGAAAAGAGGGUUAAACAGUACGUGAAAUUGUUGAAAGGGAAGCGCUCGUGACCAGACUUGGGCGCGGCGGAUCAUCCGGCGUUCUCGCCGGUGCACUCCGCCGCACCCGGGCCAGCAUCAGCUCGCUGCGGGGGACAAAGACGUCGGGAACGUGGCUCCCUCGGGAGUGUUAUAGCCCGGCGUGUAAUGCUCCGUGGCGGGCUGAGGUUCGCGCGUCCGCAAGGAUGCUGGCGUAAUGGUUACCAGUGACCCGUCUUGAAACACGGACCAAGGAGUCGUCCUCGUAUGCGAGUGUUCGGGUGUCAAACCCCUACGCGCAAUGAAAGUGAACGCUGGUGAGAGCUUCGGCGCAUCAUCGACCGAUCCUGAUGUUCUCGGAUGGAUUUGAGUAGGAGCAUACGGGGCCGGACCCGAAAGAAGGUGAACUAUGCCUGUGUAGGGUGAAGCCAGAGGAAACUCUGGUGGAGGCUCGCAGCGGUUCUGACGUGCAAAUCGAUCGUCAAAC